UUCGAGUGGCGGACGGGUGAGUAACGUGUGGGUAACCUGCCUUACACAGGGGGAUAACACCUGGAAACAGGUGCUAAUACCGCAUAAGCGCACAGGGCCGCAUGGCCCGGUGUGAAAAACUCCGGUGGUGUAAGAUGGACCCGCGUCUGAUUAGCUUGUUGGCGGGGUAGGGGCCCACCAAGGCGACGAUCAGUAGCCGGCCUGAGACGGUGGACGGCCACAUUGGGACUGAGACACGGCCCAAACUCCUACGGGAGGCAGCAG
Molecule: ribosomal RNA, 264 nt
Filed under: uncultured bacterium
Lineage: Bacteria
Description: partial 16S ribosomal RNA
Rfam family: Bacterial small subunit ribosomal RNA
Source: RNAcentral